UGGGGAAUAUUGGGCAAUGGGCGAAAGCCUGACCCAGCGACGCCGCGUGAGGGAAGAAGGUCUUCGGAUUGUAAACCUCUUUCAGCAGGGAAGAAUAAUGACGGUACCUGCAGAAGAAGUCACGGCUAACUACGUGCCAGCAGCCGCGGUAAUACGUAGGUGGCGAGCGUUAUCCGGAAUUACUGGGUGUAAAGGGUGUGUAGGCGGGGAGUUAAGUCAGAUGUGAAAAUUACGGGCUCAACCCGUAACCUGCGUCUGAAACUGAUUCUCUUGAGAGUGGGAGAGGUAAACGGAAUUCCCGGUGUAGCGGUGAAAUGCGUAGAGAUCGGGAGGAACACCAGUGGCGAAGGCGGUUUACUGGACCAUUACUGACGC
This 375-nucleotide ribosomal RNA is filed under the name uncultured Pseudoflavonifractor sp. RNAcentral's name for it is "bacterial SSU rRNA". It matches the Rfam family "Bacterial small subunit ribosomal RNA", at positions 355 to 746 of the family's 1533-position model. Lineage: Bacteria; Bacillati; Bacillota; Clostridia; Eubacteriales; Oscillospiraceae. The record is from RNAcentral.